RNAcentral lists this non-coding RNA (143 nucleotides) under Xenorhabdus thuongxuanensis. RNAcentral describes it as "MOCO_RNA_motif". It matches the Rfam family "Molybdenum/Tungsten riboswitch aptamer (Moco RNA motif)". The record is from RNAcentral. Lineage: Bacteria; Pseudomonadati; Pseudomonadota; Gammaproteobacteria; Enterobacterales; Morganellaceae.
AACUAAUAUUAACUCCUAGCCUCUGUGUCUAAGUCACUGUAUCACAUUGAUAUGAUGCUCUGGCCGUGGCUCCUGAGUCACCAGGAUGCAAGGUAGAAAUGCCAGCAUCUCCCGUACUUGGAAGGUGUUAUUGUGGAACAACU